Molecule: long non-coding RNA, 914 nt
Organism: Clupea harengus (Atlantic herring)
Lineage: Eukaryota; Metazoa; Chordata; Actinopteri; Clupeiformes; Clupeidae
Source: Ensembl
GCUGUGAUUGCCUUGUCGGCAAAUCUAACAGUUUUCAAUUAUGCAUUUAAUAAAUUAAUUGAAUUUCCAUAGUAACAAGAGAAUUUGCUACAUGGUGAGUUUACCCUAGAAUUGCCCUGUUUUAGAGAGGGCCCACGUGUUUGCCAUGCGGUGAAACAUUAGCCAGAUUCCAUUUGACCAAUCUAUAACGGUAGUAGUUUGCAGGCUAGGUAUGUAGCAGUUCGUAAUGUGUGUUAAAGGAUGACAGCACAAGACUAUAUAGUCUCUGAUACAGCAUGAUGGUCUUUCACAGUGCACUGAAAACGCAUGUUUAUACACCAACGAUUAUCACUGUAAUGUCACUUAUGAACGGUCAUCAGUGUUUCAACCUUCUUUCAGCAGUCUGCCGGGUAUGGAGGCUCUUGUGACUAUGGGCUCAAGCAAACCUUGGCAAAUUUUGUGCCCCCCUUAUCACCAGGCCUUCCACACACUCAACUGGUAAAGCCCAGUUACUGGACCUGGAGACCGGAUGUCUGUCUUUACAGUGGCUUGCAGGAGGGCAAGGUUCUUUCAUUUAAAGGUGUUCCUGUACCUGGAAUGUGAUGUCGGUCUUUACUUGCAGGAGGGGAAGGUCCUUUCAUUUCAAGAUUGACUUGGAUGGAAUCAUGGUCUGUCUACGAUCAAGCUAGAUGCUCCAGGUGUGAAGUCAUGAGGUGUUCCUGUACCUGGAAUGUGAUGUCGGUCUUUACAGGGGCUUGCAGGAGGGGAAGGUCCUUUCAUUUCAAGAUUGACUUGGAUGGAAUCAUGGUCAGUCUACGAUCAAGCUAGAAGCUCCAGUUGUGAAGUCAUGAGGUGUUGCUGUUAUGAAGAUCUACAUUAACUGCACUGGGACCCAACAACCUCCAAGACUCAUAAAUUCGAAAUAAAUUUCUUUA